UCUGCUUAGUCAUAAUUCAUCUGUAUAUAAUAUCUGUUCAGGGACAAAGUAAGCCAAGAAAAAGAGGACUUACAGUUUCCUCUAUUGGCACUGAAGGGUCGAUGCGAUGUUGAUAGUAAAGGUCAAUAUAUUCCACCUCAAGACGCUUUAAGCUAGCCUCACAGCAUGCACGAACAUAUUCAGGUUUGCCAUUAAAUGAGGCAGCCUUGAAAUCAUUGUUCUCGCAAACAAUACCGAAUUUUGUAGCCAAUUGGAUCUUCUCUCUAGGCAAUUGCUUCAAAGCCUGCAAGCGCAAGUAUUUGACGUAGUACACAACUAAACAAAAGCAAUAUAUCCCUAGAAAUUACAUUUCAUGAACUCUAUUUGCUUGGCUUAUCUCGUUUCAAGACAAGAACUAAUUGUAUAUGAUAAGAAGAAACCUUGCCGAUCAAGAUUUCAUUAGUGUUAGGGCCAUAAACAUCAGCAGUAUCGAAAAAUGUAAUUCCUCUAUUGAAAGCUUCCUUGAUGGUUGAUAUGCCAACUUCUUCAGGGAGAGGGGCGUUGUAGCCACCAGAAAGCCCCAUACAUCCAAAUCCUAAUUUGGAGACCUGAAAGUUAAAGCAAAAGGGUAAAAUUUUUCAUCAUUUCUAAUUGAAAAACAUGGAAUAAUAAACAAUUGAGAUGAGCGUCACCUCUAGCCCUUGAUUACCCAGCUUCACCAUUGGAAUUACAAGUCUUUGCUUCUCAGCCAUCUCUUAGUUUUCUAUGUGCCUCCUUCAACCUUCUCCUUCCCUUCCUCCUAUCUGCUAUGGAAGUGAUGAGUUUAGUUAAUUCAAGUGCUGAAGGAACCAUAAAUAAUAUCUAUAUUUAUAGAUAAUUUCAGGUCCCUGUGUCGGAUAGGCACUCCUGACGUUGACAUGGAUUGUGAGCAGUGACGCAUGAGCUUGUGUCAAUGAAAGAUUUUAUUUGACAACCAUUAAGUUUUGAUCAAUUGGGGACCAAAUUUUCUUUUUAAUACUGAAAAUCAAGAUAAGAAACAAACAAAAAAAAAAAUCUGGGCAUGGGACCCCUUGGAUUCAUCUCUGAAAAAUUUCAUUUGUCAAUUUAUGAUUUCCAUUAAGCAAGUUAAUUUCUGUCAUGUUUCAUGACAGAUAAGCAAUUAUGCUUAUGCUUAUACAGUGCUAACCUUUACCAUCUUAUAGAUUAUAUAAACUUGACCCUUUAUUAUAAAAUUCAGUUGUUGCAUGAGCAACUUUAGAAAGCAAUGUUUUGCAGGUUAGGGAAAAAAAAACCUUGAUGUUAUAUUUUUAAUAUAUUCAACUAUUAAGAAAUUCAAUAUAACUAGGGAUGAGUGUUUGUUCGAUUUUUAUUAAUGAAAUAAUAACUUCUCCAUUUAUAUUAUUUUUUAUUUUCCUUUUAUAAAUAAUAACUUCUCCAUUUCCAUCAAAUGGGUCAGCCAAGAUAUUAGAACAUUAAUUUUGAAGAGAAGAUGACUUGCAUUCUUUUGAAUUAAAUACUUCAUAGUUCAUAAUGAUGGUGGCCCUCCAUAUUAGACAGACCCACUGUAACAAAUUAUCCAUCUGUAGAGUUCGAGCAGGGGAAACCGACAAAACGACAGGGGUAAAGCUUGCUAAUUAAUUUAUUUAUUAUAAUUAAUUUCUACUGAGACUCCAAUUCGAGAUCUUAUAAUUCUGACAUUAAUGGUAAGAUCAAAAUUUCAGUAAGUGCACAGCUUGCUAAGAUAGACGACUCAGGUCGGGAAUUAGCCAUUUCUGUGUGGGGUGUUGCCAAACUUCCAUGUAUACCUGAUGUCAAAAAAUCUCAAUCCAGCAACUUGGUCGGCUGGAACAGCAUCAGAGACUUCCUUAAACUCAUCUUUUGUCAGCUUAACUCUCAAUGCUCCAAUGUUGUCAUGCAGAUUCUUAAUCUUUGUUGUGCCUAAAGAAAGCCCAACAAGACAUUGCAAACCACAAGUAUUUGGUAAGCUGAUCUAAACACAUUAGAUAACUGAGAGCAUGAAUCAAAGAGAAGCAGACCCACCAGGGAUGGGAACCACAUCAUCUCCUUGAUUGAGAACCCAAGCAAGGGCAAGCUGAGCAGGACUGCAUCCAUAUUUUUUAGCUAAAUUUUCUACUCUCCUAUAUAAUACCUUAUUCUGUUUUAAAUUUUCUUCUGUGAAUCUUGGGAAGAAUUUCUGCAGUAAAAGCAAGGUAGAUGCCAAAUAAGCAUCAAAUUAAAGAAUUAGAUUGUAACUAAAUGCAAAUUUAGUACCAGCAGAGUGUCUGAAGGCACGCUUUCCACUACUGCUUUGCCAGCAAAAAAGCCCUGACCCAGAGGGCUAUAUGGAACUAUUCCAAUUCCAAGUUCCCUGCAUGUUUGUUUCAGAGGACAAUCCCCUCAGACAUAUUAUUAUUAGAUUAAUCAAAGAAAACGUAGUAAGAAACACUAAAUAUGAAUAUUACAUGUGUACCUGCAAAGAGGGAUUAUUUGUUCCUCGAGGUCGCGAGACCAAAGUGACCAUUCUAUUUGCAGUGCAGUGAUGGGGUGAACUGCGUGUGCUCUCUUGAUGGUAUCGGGACUUGGCUCAGAAAGUCCUAUGUACUUAAUUUUCCCUUCUUCCACUAACUUCUUAAGUUCUCCCAUCUACUUGAUGAAAAAUUCAUUCAGAAAUUCACAGAGAAAACCAGUAAAUGAAAAUAAGAACUUACGGUUUCCUCUAUUGGGACUGACGGGUCGAUGCGAUGUUGAUAGUAAAGGUCAAUAUAGUCCACAUCAAGACGCUUUAAGCUAGCCUCACAGCAUGCACGAACAUAUUCAGGUUUGCCAUUAAAUGAGGCAGUCCUAUAAUCAUAAUUUUUUUUGAAAAUAACCCCGAAUUUUGUAGCCAAUUGGAUCUUCUCUCUAGGCAAUUGCUUCAAUGCCUGCAAGCACAAGUAUUUGUCGAGGUACACAAUCAAAAGAACUUACAUUUUCAUGAACUCUAAUUGCUUGCCUCGCUAGCUCGACUGAAAAGAGAAAAAAGAAAUAUUCUUAUUUGCUUAUCUUGUUUUAAGAAAAGAAGUUGUAUAUGACAGGAACUCUAAACCUUGCCAAUCAAAACUUCAUUAGCGUUAGACCCAUAAAUAUCAGCAGUAUCGAAAAAUGUAAUUCCUCUAUUGAAUGCUUCCUUGAUGAUUGAUAUGCCAACUUCUUCAGGAAGAGGAGCAUUGUAGCCACCAGAAAGCUCCAUACAUCCAAAUCCUAAUUUGGAGACCUGAAAGUUAAAGAAAAAGGGUAUAAUCUCUGAUCAUUAAUAAUUGAAAACCAUAGAAUAAAGAAGGAAGUGAGAUUAUGGGUUUGACCUCUAGUCCUUGAUUACCCAGCUUCACCCUUGGAAUAAUUACAAGUCUUUGCUCCUCAGCCAUCCAAUUAGUUUUCUCUGCCUCCUUCACCUUCUCCUUCCCUUCCUGCUAUUUGCUAUGGAAGUGGUGAUGAUGAGUUUGGUUCAAUUACUAAAGGAACCAUGAAUAACAUCUGAGUACUUGUAGAUAAUGUCAGGUCCCUCGGUCGGAUAAAUGAUAAUGAUGUUGACAUAGGUCGUUUAGUAGCGAGGCAUGGGGGAGAAAUUAUAUUUCAAUUGUUUAAUGAAAUAAUUCAACCCGUUUGUGUAAUCUAAGUACCCACCGUUUAAAAAAUCUCCUUUCGAUUUUAUCUAGUUUUAGUUUUCCUUCUAAUGUGCUCUAUCCUUGUUGCCUGCAAAACUUCGUGGCCAGCUGGACAGAAGAGGCUCCCUCGUUCCUACGCAGGAACUGAAUUGUUACGGGUAUUAGAGUUUAAAUAGAUUUAAGAUUGUCGGAAAUGGUAACAACUUUACUAUAUAUUUUGUUAUAUAUGAUAUAAUUCUAAAUAUAAUUUAAAAAAUAUGAACAAACAAAAAUUAAUUGACAAUAUUUUGCUGAAAUAAUUUGAAUUUUUUUUUUUUUCAUAAAGGAAUACUCUGGAUACAUCAGACAAGGUAAAUUAUUCUCUUUCUCCAAGCACACCGAAAGAAUACAGCUCUCUGCUGAGGAAUUGUGUGCUAAUAAUUUCUGAUAUACUACCCCCUACAAAUUCAUUGACGGAAAAUUCACUGGUAAACGCACAGCUUGUAAUUGCUAGGAUAGACAUCUCAGGUUGAGAAUUCAGACUUGGCCAUCUCUGGGUGGAGUAUUGCCAGUAUACUGCACAUUCAGAGUUCGUAAACCAGCAACUUGGUCAGCUGGAACAGCAUCAGAGACUUCCUUAAACUCAUCUUUUGUCAGCUUAAGUCUCAAUGCUCCAAUGUUGUCCUCCAGAUUUUUAAGCUUGGUUGUGCCUAAAGAAAGCCCAAGAAAACAUUGCAAACCAGAUUUUGACGAGCUGAUCUAAACGUAUGCAGUUCAUAUUAGAUAACUGAGAGCAUGAAUAGAGAAGACAAGCAAACCCACCAGGGAUGGGAACCACAUCAUCUCCUUGAUUGAGAACCCAAGCAAGGGCAAGCUGAGCAGGAAGGCAUCCAUAUUUUUUAGCCAAAUUUUCUACUCGACUAUAUAGUAUCUUAUUCUGUUCUAAGUUUUCUCCUGAAAACCUUGGCAAUAAUCUCUGAAGUAAAAGGCAAGGUUGAUGCCAAGUAAGCAAUAAAAUUAGUUUCGAAAAGCAUCAAAUGAAACAUUAAAGAAUUAGACUGCAACUAAAUUACAUGUUUAGUACCAUCCGAGUGUCUGAAGGGACACUUUCCAUAUUUUUUUUGCCAGCAAAAAAACCCCGGCCGAGAGGGCUAUAUGGAACUAUUCCAAUUCCAAGUUCCCUGUAUGUCCUUAUUAUUAAACGAACCAAAAACAACCUAACUAGGAAGACUAAAUAAGAAUGUUAAAUGGGUACCUGCAUAGAGGGACUAUUUCUUCCUCGAGGUCGUGAGUCCAAAGUGACCAUUCCAUUCGCAGUGCUGUGAUGGGAUGAACUGCGUGUGCUCUUUUUAUGGUGUCAGGGCUUGGCUCAGAAAGUCCAAUAUACUUAAUUUUCCCUUCUUGCACUAACUUUUUAAGUUCUCUCAUCUGCUUAAUAAAAAAUCAUGUGUAUAUAAUAUCUGUUUAGCGACAGAGCAAGCCUGGAAAGGAAAAAGGACUUACAGUUUCCUCUAUUGGGAUUGAAGGGUCGAUCCGACGUUGAUAGUAAAGAUCUAUAUAAUCCACAUCAAGACGUUUUAAGCUAGCCUCACAGCAUGCACGAACAUAUUCAGGUUUACCGUUAAAUGAGGCAGUUUUAAAAUCAUUGUUCUUGAACAUAAUUCCAAAUUUUGUAGCCAAUUGGAUCUUCUCUCUAGGCAAU
RNAcentral lists this long non-coding RNA (5304 nucleotides) under Manihot esculenta (cassava). RNAcentral describes it as "long non-coding RNA (MESC_LNC005009)". Lineage: Eukaryota; Viridiplantae; Streptophyta; Magnoliopsida; Malpighiales; Euphorbiaceae. The record is from RNAcentral.